AUGGUGUCCGGCUACCGGCAGAGGGAAGCCGUGGGUGCGUGUACAGAGAGCCUCGGGUCGGAGAGCGGCGACGUCGGCGGGGAUAUCGAGCAGCUCCCGGCCGUCGUCGGCGCCGGAGCAAACGAGGACGGGCACGGCGCGGGAAUGGUGGAGCAUCAGGAUUUGGCGGCGAAGAGGCGGCGAGGCGACAGGCUUCUCCCUCCGGUGAUGCCGAGGCCGGCCGAGGCGUUCAUGCGCGCGGAGCGGCGUGGCGGGCGGCUCAUCCUCACCCAGGUGGUGCGGCCGGUCGAGCGGCCGCGGGAGGUGUUCUGUGCGUCCCGCGCCGACGGGCGCCUGCGCCUGCGCUUCGCUGAAGAAGACCGCUUGUACGGCGAGGAGCGCCAAGCGCCCGAAUCAGCCGAGACGGAGAGCGGGGCCCUGGUCGGUGGCUGCGGCAACGGCGUGGGGUUGCGCCAGGCGGCCACCGGCACCGGGAGGCGCGUCGAGAUCGGCGCCGUGAUGGGGAUAUGA
This 510-nucleotide ribosomal RNA is filed under the name Triticum aestivum (bread wheat). RNAcentral describes it as "partial small subunit ribosomal RNA". Lineage: Eukaryota; Viridiplantae; Streptophyta; Magnoliopsida; Poales; Poaceae. The record is from RNAcentral.